This 1326-nucleotide unclassified non-coding RNA is filed under the name Hevea brasiliensis (rubber tree). The record is from RNAcentral. Lineage: Eukaryota; Viridiplantae; Streptophyta; Magnoliopsida; Malpighiales; Euphorbiaceae.
GAUGCAGCUGAGUCUCUUUCUCCUCCAAAGACACUUGAAGUUGCGCAAGUUUGAAAUUAAGCUGCUUGAUGUCUCCUUUGAGGCGACUCACCAUAUUCCUUUCAGAACUAAUCUUCAUUAAUGCAGGGAUACGAGUGCCAUUAAACAUCUUGGUGAGAAAAUUUCUAAAAGAUAGAUGCAAUGCAUUGGACCACUCCUUGGAAAAGUAUACCCGGAACUUGGGUUCGGAUUGAGGAGCUUUAAUAUAUGGAAUUGCAAACCAGGAUGCCCAAUGUUGGUCUUUUUGCAGCAAUUCAGUGCCAUGUAUGUCAAACAACUCUAUGACUUUAUCCUUUCUUCCAGCUUGUAUGGCAUGAAUAAUAUAAUACCGUAUAAUAGAGAUAUCUAACUCAGAUAUGACAGAAAUAAGAUGUGUCUCGUGAGAAGAAAAGCAGUUGCUGAAAAAGCGCAGGAGUUGAAUGAGGUUUUCAGCUUGGAAUUUGGGGAUAUAAAUGGAGAAAACUAAAUCUAAUAUCUUAUCAACUUGAAAUCCUUUGCCAAUAUCAGUUCCCAACUCUUUGACAAAAGCCUGCAGAGUGUUUGUAAAGCCUCUGAAUACUAGAAACUCCUUCACAAGCUCCUCCGCAUACACCAUAUUCUCCAUCUUCAGCUUAUAUGGAUUAUUAAUUCAAAAAAAAAAUCUACGAACCAAUAACCACUGCCGAACCCUAAUUUCUCCACAAACUCGGCGCACACAUACAAGAGUUAAUAACCCAUCUUAACUAUCCACAAUUUAUCAACAUAAUACUUAAACUAGGGAUGUUCAUGUUAUAUCCCCAUAAAAACUAACAUUUCCUGUGUGAAAACCCCUGCCGCACAGUCGAGUGACCUGGAUACUGAUUUAAUCUUUUUUAGAGAAGAGAUUUAAGACAUAAAUAUUACUGCUAGCAAAAAAAGCGAUUCCACUUUGCUGAAAGGAAAACUCCGAAUCAACUAGAGAAUGAAAAGUUCAGCUAAGCUUCCUGGAUCAGAAAAGUUCAGGUCCAGAAGCCUUUUCUUUAGUUUAUAUAGGCCUGAGAUUAUGAGAAAAAUAGUGCUCCAAAUCAAUCUGCGAACCCUGAAAAUUCUGGAAUCGUACUAAUUCGAAAAGAAUUGAAUGGAGGAUCGUUUGACUCGUGAGUAAUACGAAGAAGCUGUGAAAUUGCUCCACCUGUCCCGAUUCGAGAAUCUUCUGGUACGGAGAGGGUAGGGGAUAGAGGGAGAAGACGACGCAGCUGCAAAGUCACUGGGUUCCGGUCGCACCUGGGUUCAUUCGUGUCUGAUUUGCUUUGCGAAGGAGGAGACAGA